UAAAAGGGAUACCAUACACAUAGGGUCAAGCACAAUCUCUAAUCCUCAAUGUCAUUACAUUACAUAACUAUUCACAACUCUACAUCAUUAUACAAUUUGUCAUGUCCACAUUCUAGCUAUUACAUGCACAAGACUUCAUUACUCUUGCUGACCUCCUGGUCUACCCUGUACCUGCAAACCUGGGGGUUAAGGGAGAGGGGUGAGCUACAAGAGCCCAGUGAGCAGAAUAAUAAAACAUUU
This 240-nucleotide long non-coding RNA is filed under the name Manihot esculenta (cassava). Its description in RNAcentral is "long non-coding RNA (MESC_LNC004625)". Lineage: Eukaryota; Viridiplantae; Streptophyta; Magnoliopsida; Malpighiales; Euphorbiaceae. The record is from RNAcentral.